Molecule: ribosomal RNA, 430 nt
Filed under: Bacteroidota bacterium
Lineage: Bacteria; Pseudomonadati; Bacteroidota
Description: Bacteroidetes bacterium partial 16S ribosomal RNA
Rfam family: Bacterial small subunit ribosomal RNA
Source: RNAcentral
UAGGGAAUCUUCGGCAAUGGGGGGAACCCUGACCGAGCAACGCCGCGUGAGUGAAGAAGGUUUUCGGAUCGUAAAGCUCUGUUGUUAAGGAAGAACGAGUGUGAGAAUGGAAAGUUCAUGCUGUGACGGUACUUAACCAGAAAGCCACGGCUAACUACGUGCCAGCAGCCGCGGUAAUACGUAGGUGGCAAGCGUUGUCCGGAUUUAUUGGGCGUAAAGCGAGCGCAGGCGGUCAAUUAAGUCUGAUGUGAAAGCCCCCGGCUCAACCGGGGAGGGUCAUUGGAAACUGGUUGACUUGAGUGCAGAAGAGGAGAGUGGAAUUCCAUGUGUAGCGGUGAAAUGCGUAGAUAUAUGGAGGAACACCGGUGGCGAAAGCGGCUCUCUGGUCUGUAACUGACGCUGAGGCUCGAAAGCGUGGGGAGCGAACAGG